GAUUACUAUGCAAUACCAGCACUGGCCAGUAGGGGUCGCUGUAUGUGGAGACAGGCAGGGAUAGGAAGUUGCAGCAUAUCCCUCCCUGCCUACCUAUACUCACUGAUCUGCAGGGGAGCAGCUACAGAGAGUCCAGACAGCAACUCCCACCCUGCAGAGACAGCCUACAGCUCAGGGAAGUAAGGGAUGGGGGAAAGGCUGCAAGGAG
Molecule: non-coding RNA, 208 nt
Organism: Pelobates cultripes (western spadefoot toad)
Lineage: Eukaryota; Metazoa; Chordata; Amphibia; Anura; Pelobatidae
Source: the annotation of a GenBank genome assembly